Carassius gibelio (silver crucian carp) is the source of this 6520-nucleotide RNA transcript. It is a transcript of the gene named seizure related 6 homolog b, with no coding region annotated. The record is from RefSeq and is a predicted model, not a curated record. The transcript has 18 exons. Lineage: Eukaryota; Metazoa; Chordata; Actinopteri; Cypriniformes; Cyprinidae.
GGCUCGACUCAGUCUGAGAGGUGCUGACAGAAAUUGAACAUUCUCUGGCUCUCCUCCGUUCACAAUUACAAAUCUGACCAGAGCUCCUCGUCUCGCGCAGCGACCUCGUUCCUCACGGCGCAGAACGUCUUCGUCCUGCUCCUAUUUAAUUAUUCGGAAAGUCUUUUAGUACAAGGACAUAUUCUGUGAUAGGAGCCCACUGCCGCGAGCAUGAACUCGACAAGAAAUUACAAACCAAACAUGCUCGUUCUGAUUCUCGCCGUAUUUGCUGGCGUGUGGAUGGCACGAGGGCAAGGUUCUUAUGUGGAUGGGAGGCUAGCAGUGACCCAAAGAGGAGGUCAGGUGGAAGCAGAGGAUGGGUCCAAUCCAUAUCACACCACACAGGACACAGACAGAGACCUUCCACUGUUCACGACGGCUCCCCCUUACAGUGGCCUCCACCACCAUCCGCCUUUUAAGUCCUACCCGCCUUACGACCCCCGGGGCAAAAGCCACGAGCAGUAUUUUCAAGACAGUGGAGGGGCAGCUUACCAUCCCACAAUGCCAUCGUCUAGUUCCCAUCUCCUUCAAGAUCCAUCCACACAGCUGGUCCCACACAAGGAUGCGCCUCCAUUCUCUGAUGUAGCAGCUCCCAGAACCACCACACUUGCUCCAUCAGCCGCAGCGCUCACCCAGCCACACAUGCUCAACAUCCUACACAAACCUUCAGCAGAAACGCAGAGGAGAAGCACGAGGGAACCACCCCUGUCUGUGACCACAGCAUCACUGACCACCACUGAUGUGCACACAUCUGCACCACCUGCUUCCAAACUGCCAGAAAGAAGAGAUAUCACUCCGACCUUAAACAACAAGCCCUUAGAUCCAACAAUCCCGGUAAAAAGAGACAAAGAAAAGUCCUCAAUACUCAAUUCAGAACAUGGCACUCCAGGAGGUGAUGUUGCUGUAAAAGCAUCAUCAGUAUCUGGAGAUUUGGAUGAUGAGACCACCACCUCCACAAUCAUCACUACAACGGUUAUUACAACUAUGCAGACGCCAGCUCCGUGCAACACCAAUUUCACAUCGCCGGGAGGCUACAUAGAGUCACCGCAGCAAGCCAGGAGUUUGUACAAUACUGAUGUGGACUGCACAUACACCGUGACAGUCUACAUGGGCUAUGGGGUGGAAAUUCAGGUGAUGAACGUGAGCCUUGGAGAGGGCGACGUGGUCAGAUUUGAAGACCUGGGCGGCCGGGAACCUUCUGUCCUGGCCAACGAGUCCAUCUUACUGAAAGGUCUGGUGGUACGCAGCUGGAGCAACCAAAUCUCCAUCCACUUCCGCAGCCGGCAGACGCAGUCCAGCUCCUUGCUGCUGCGUUACCAAGCAUUUGUGUUGAGUUGCAACUUCCCUGAUAGACCAGCAUAUGGGGACGUGUCUGUCACCAGCCUGCAUGCAGAGGGAGAGGCCUAUUUCUACUGCUUUAGUGGAUACCAACUCCAGGGUCCCUCCACCCUCACAUGCCGCAAUGCCACCACACCCUACUGGAGCGGCAAAGUGCCGCGCUGUCUUGUGGCCUGCGGUGGAAUGGUGAAAAACGCGACCCUCGGCCGUAUUGUGUCCCCUGGUUUCCCUGGCAACUACAGCAACAACCUGACCUGCCACUGGGUGCUGGAGGCCCCUGAGGGUCAACGGCUGCAUGUGCACUUCGAGAAGGUGGCCCUCGCAGAAGACGAUGACAGGUUCCUGAUUAAAAACGGCAACCACAUUGAUUCGCCGAUUUUGUACGACUCGUACGAGGUGGAAUACCUUCCUAAUGAGGGAAUCGUUAGUUCCGCCAGACAUCUCUUUGUGGAGUUUACGACGGAUGGUUUCGGCACCAACACGGGAGUAGCCGUCAGAUAUGAAGCUUUUGCAGCAGGGCACUGCUACGAGCCAUUCGUCAAGUACGGCAACUUCACCACCACUGACAGCACCUACGCUGUGGGCACGGUCGUGGAGUUCACCUGUGACCCCGGAUACACCCUGGAGCAGGGCUCAGUUAUCAUCGAGUGCAUGGAUCCCAGCAACCCUCAAUGGAACGAGACUGAGCCCGCCUGCAGAGCGGUUUGCAGUGGAGAGAUCACAGAUUCAGCCGGGGUGGUGUUGUCUCCAAACUGGCCUGAGGCCUAUGAUAAGGGUCAGGACUGCAUCUGGGGGAUCCAUGUUGAAGAAGACAAGAGGAUAAUGCUAGACAUCCAAGUUCUCCACAUGGGAAAGAAUGACCUGCUGACUUUUUACGAUGGAGAUGACCUGACUGCAAAGAUACUUGGCCAGUACAGCGGUUCCCGUCCUCGCUUCAAACUCUACACCUCCAUGGCUGAUGUGACCAUCCAGUUCCAGUCGGACCCUGCUACCAACAUCUACGGCUACAACAAUGGUUUUGUGGUGCACUUUUUCGAGGUUCCCCGUAACGACACCUGUCCAGAGCUUCCAGAGAUCUCCAACGGCUGGAAGACCACAUCUCACCCUGACCUGGUACACGGCACGGUGGUGACCUAUCAGUGUUACCCAGGCUUUGAGGUGGUGGGCACAGAAAUGCUCAUGUGUCAGUGGGACCUGACCUGGAGCGGAGACUUGCCCAGCUGCGAAAGAGUCCUGUCAUGCCCAGACCCAGGCACGGUGGAGCACAGUCGCAGGGUGAUGUCAGGCCCGCGUCUCAUCGUGGGCUCUACUGUCCAGUACAUCUGUAACAAAGGCUACUCGCUGUCCGGAAACAGCCUGCUCUCCUGCUACCACCGUGACUCCACCGGUCCCAAAUGGAGCGAGAAACUGCCCAAAUGCAUUCCUGAUUCGUAUGAGCCAUGUAGGAACCCCGGCACUCCUCCCUAUACCAUUCAGAGCUCGGAGAAGCAUGUGUAUCAGGCUGGAGAAACUGUGCGCUUCUCCUGCAUGAGUGGGUAUGAGCUCCAGGGUGAGCCUGUUCUCCGCUGUGUCCCCGGGCAUCCUUCCAAAUGGAGCCAUCCACCCCCGCUGUGCAAAGCGGUAACACUGGAGUACAUAGAUGAACGCAGACUGGAUGUGGCCAGUGCAGAUUUCAGUAUGGAGGGAGCAAGUGUGGCUGUUUCCAUUUUUAUCCCAGUGGCCGUAAUCGUAAUUAUCAUCAUGUCGAUAUAUUUCUACUUUUCAAGAGUGCAAGGCAAGUCUCUACGUCUUUCCAUGUCCACAUCACCACAAUACGAUCAAAUCAGAGGAGAGUCAGCUUUUGAAAACCCCAUCUACGAGACUGCAAACAAUGAGGUGAGAUUUUGAAAGUCAAUACUUUUACAAUAAUACAUGCUCUUUUCCCCCAGCCUCCUGUGUCUAGCAUGCACUACAGACUGCAGGUUAUUCGCACCUCUUAUGUGCUGUGCUAGUCUCCCUCCAGAUCUCUCUCUCUCUCUCUCUCUCUCUCUCUCUGUGGUGUGGCAGUCAUAACACAGUCCCAGCAGCUCACUCCCUGCAUAUACUAAACCGUUCGAUAACAGUUUCUGGCCCCUAGGGCAAAGUCUGCUUUGACUGUACGUUAAGUGUGUGUGGCUGGACAGAUGAGCGUCUGUGUGCUGUAUGUGUUUGUGCAUGUAUGUGUGCCGCUUCUUCAUGCACUAAUGCCCUGAAGUGGUGUACUAGCAGUAUGUGAAGAUGAUGCAAACAGAAGCAUCUCUCGGGUGUGAAAAAAGACAUGUCAAGUCUGGGUUUCCCAAAGAGUGCGAUUACAAAAAGCAUAGCUGAUCAAUAUUACAUUUUGGACAUUUAAUUUCUGGAUUAUAAAGGUUUGUUUUCAUAUGCAUUAUUGAUUUAUCAUGCUGUUUAUUUUUCAUAAACGUCAGAAGGCUUUUAAAUGCUCAUUUAAAAAUCUGCAUUGUUUUUAUUUGUGAAAACAUCACAGUAUCACUUCAUAAAUCAUGCAUAGUUUUCACAGCAAAGUAGCCUGAUAGUUUUUUCCUGCAGACUUCCAUUAUGUUUCCAUUGCUGAUUAUUAUUUUUACGUUUUUUUUUUCAUGCUUAAGUUGCAUGGUAUUUUUGAUUUGUACAGAGACCUAUGAUUCAAAGCAGCCACCAGAGGUACUCUCUAGGAUUCUGUUGUAAAGAAAGAGCCUGUAAGGAGAGUUGAUCAAUGGAAUAGCAUCACAUGGACAAGGCUGAGAAGGAUACGAGAGAAUACGAAGUCUCCAUUUAAGCUGGUUUUAGCAUGGAGGACCGCAAGCCUUUCUCUGCCUUGUGGAAGAUCUCUCAGUUCCUCUCACAUCUUGUGUCGCCAACUCUGCUCUUAAUCUCACCUACCUUCUCAUCUUUUCUCAUCUGCUGUAAAUAUCACCUUGCUUCUGAGGACUUCCGCAAGCGAAGUGUGUGGACAACAUGAUAUUAUUUUUGUAGAGCUUCAAUACCCAUGGCCUAGCAGAAUUGCUUGUACAGUUUUUACCCGUAAUUGAGCCAAAUUAAGGAAUAAUAAUAAUAAUAAAAAAGACUGAUAAUAGGGGAGUACAUGUUAUUUAGGUGAUUGAUGUCUCGCUAAACAGAUUUUUUUCAUUUAUUUAUUUUUAAGUGUCGCACUUUUGUACUCACAACCCCAUUCUUCCCCCUCUCCAAGAAAUUCACAUGUAAAGUUACAUUGUGAGAUUUAAAUAAAUCACAAGCACAGGAAAUAGUUGCACUUGUGAAAUGAUAUAAAUUCACACAUAAAGUAAUUGAACAAAAUACAAAUAAAUUCACAAUUACCUGUUAAUUGGAAGAAUAAGGCAGAAAUGGGUUUCCAUAGCAAUGACAUAAACUACCAUUUAAAAGUUUGGACGUUUUUUUUCAUGUUUUUAAAAGAAAAGUAUUUUUGGAAAAAAAUACAUUAAAAAUGAGGAUAUUGUAAAAAUAUUAUUGUGUUUUCCAUUUGAAUAGAUUAAGGUUGAAUAGAACAUUUAAUUUAUUCCUGUGAUGGUAAAGAUGAAUUUUCAGCAUCCAUUACUCCAGUUUUCAGUGUCACAUGAUCCUUUAGAAAUCAUUCUAAUGUGCUGAUCAGAUACUCAAGAAACUUUCUUUCUUAUUAUUAUCAAUGCUAAAAACAGUAUGCUGCUCACAUAUUGUGGAAAUCUUGAUAAUUGUUUUUCAUGAUUUUUUUAUAAAUAGAAUGUUCAAAAGAACAGCAUUUAGAUCUCAUUCUGAUUUUACUUUUGAGCUGUUUAAUGCAUCUUUUCUGAAUAAAUAUAUUAUUAUUAUUAUUAUUUUCUGACUUGACUUCAAACUUUUAUUAUAUCUGGAGUUCUUAUACGAAUGAACUAGUCCCAAAUAUAAUCAUAACAUUUUCCACCUGAACACCUUCAUACAGGAAAAAUAAAUGUUCUUUAAAACAAUUAUGUUAAACUCAGCAACCAUUGUACAAUUAAACCUAUGCAUGGUUUACGUUUUUUAUUAUUAUUAUUUUAAUUUCCCACAAAAUGAAAAUGAAAUGUGUUAUUACAACAGCUGUGAUUAUAAACCUUCAAAUAAGAUCUAGUUUCAUGAAGUGUAGUAUUUUGCAUGAAAACUGGAACACCUUGUAUCCAGUAAUGUGAAGUGGGUCCCUGUUUCAUUGGGGUGGACUCAAGCCUUUACGUUAACCUUACUUAUGGCUUGCCUGUUUGUACAGUCAAAGAAAAGACUGCUGGGGAAGUAGUCUCUAUCUGUUUUAAAUUCAGCUUCGAUUGAUUUUGCCAGAAGUAAAAAUCUAUGUACAGAAAGUUCUUGUAAAUCAUCCCUCCUUCACUGAUCAAUUGGCUCUAUUUUUUGGUUUCCGUUUAUUUUUGUAUGUUUUUGUAUGGAACAAAAUAACAACUGACUGUACUCUAUCAGCAGGCACUCUUCAUAUAUAAAUAUCUAAGAAUGUACAUAAAAUUUGUAUUAGAUAUGGCUUAAAUGUAUGUAUAUAUAUGGGGUUUAUCUAUUAUAGAAUAGAUCUUUGUUUAUCAUUUCACAGUCUGUCUGUUAAUAUCAAUUAAAUGGAUCAUCUAAAACAAUUAUGUGCUUGGUCCCCAUAUGAAUGUUGUCUGUAUUGACUGAAAUAUUGUCAUUUCAAUGUAACUAGCAAAAGCUGCCAAAAACAUCACAGUUGGUCACAUGACAGACUUGCAUCUUGAGUGUAUGUUUCAAUGUUUCACUGUCUCCAACUAAACAACCGAGUUUGGGAACCUAAGAAACAACAUUUAUUGGAAGUCAGAGCAACAUCCAUAACUCUGGUAUAGUUACAGACGUUACAUUCAUAUUAAAUUAUCCAAAGCAACUUAUCAAUGAGGAAUACAGCAUGAGCAGUUACUUAAUAAGACAAGUGCUGCAACAUUAAGUAGCCUAUAGCAGUGUAGUUUGAGUUUAUUUUUUAUUUUUUUAUGUAUUUAUUUUUGAGGGAUUCAGAAAGGAAGGAAUUUAGCCUAAAAGUUCCAAGGGACUUGGUUGUUUAGGAUUAUCAUUGUCCAAAAUGAUAUAUUUCUACUUUGUUGCACUGUACUGUAAUUAUUUACCACAACACUGUCAUAGCAUAUCUUCAAUUAAAAAUGAUAUUCCAUCA